GAUGAAGAACGCAGCGAAAUGCGAUAAGUAGUGUGAAUUGCAGAAUUCAGUGAAUCAUCGAAUCUUUGAACGCACAUUGCGCCCCUUGGUAUUCCAUGGGGCAUGCCUGUUCGAGCGUCAUUUGUACCUUCAAGCUCUGCUUGGUGUUGGGUGUUUGUCUCGCCUCUGCGUGUAGACUCGCCUCAAAAUAAUUGGCAGCCGGCGUAUUGAUUUCGGAGCGCAGUACAUCUCGCGCUUUGCACUCAUAACGACGACGUCCAAAAGUACAUUUUUACACUCUUGACCUCGGAUCAGGUAGGGAUACACGCUGAACUUAAGCAUAUCAAUAAGCGGAGGA
This 337-nucleotide unclassified non-coding RNA is filed under the name soil metagenome. Its description in RNAcentral is "partial contains 5.8S ribosomal RNA, internal transcribed spacer 2, and large subunit ribosomal RNA". The stretch from base 1 to 120 matches the Rfam family "5.8S ribosomal RNA", at positions 35 to 154 of the family's 154-position model. The record is from RNAcentral.